RNAcentral lists this long non-coding RNA (949 nucleotides) under Equus caballus (horse). RNAcentral's name for it is "lncRNA (ENSECAG00000040612.3)". Lineage: Eukaryota; Metazoa; Chordata; Mammalia; Perissodactyla; Equidae. The record is from RNAcentral.
CAUAAAUACUAAUUGGUUGCUAUGGUGAUCUCAAGCUUGUAACUAAAACGGAGGUAUCUAGGUAACAGUAUCUGAAGGUGAGAAUGAUGAAUGCUUCAACUCUGGAGUUUCGUAGGGAGAUGGUGCUGGAGUAUAAAAACUGGCAAAUGUAGCCUCAGCUCCAAAGGAUUGGUGGAUAUCUUUGGACCUCGCACACGAUAUAUGGGUCUUCUCUUUCUUAAUCCUGAGGCAGAUGAUGCUGCUGAGUAAAAUCGAAAUCACACAUCAAAGCAGAUUGAGACCACUCUAAAUUUGUGAUCACAAAACCUCAUCUAGGCCCUCAGUGCUGCCAAGAAGGCCUGUUAUGACAUUUUAAAAUAACUUAAAUCCUUUAAAAAAUGGCAUCUUUUUUUUUUUUUUUUUACUGGUAUAUGGCUUUUAAAGUUCUUCAAAACCUUUCUUCCCCCCAGAACUUGAGAAGAUCCAACCAGUCUGUCAAAGGAGUAACAAAUUUGCAAAGCUUCCUGUGCAGAGCUUGAAGUCUACUCCACGUUCAUCCAGUCAACAUGUUUUGGGGGACACACAUCACAUCCCAGACUCAAUUGCUAAAUAAAGAAUCAAGAUCUCGAACCAAACCUUUCUCCUUUCAGGAUGUUGUGUUAGAAGUGACAUACAGAUAACUUUUCGUAUUCUAUGUGAGCAUCAUUUUCCUUGUGAAAUGUCUUGACGCUCCUUUGGAUGCAUUUCUACCCAACACAGGAUCCCUCACGCACACACGCCUGAUAGACGUUCAUCCAAGCAUGUGCUUAACUGAAUUAACAAGGUUUUAAAAUUGAACAAAGGAAGUCUAGAUCUUAUCAAUCUUUUAGUGUGUAACAUAACUCACCUCUUCUCCCCCUUUCGUAAAUAUGAAGAAUUCAGCUAUAUGAAGAAUUACUUUUAUAACAUUUGAGUGUUUGUUAUGUGUCAG